RNAcentral lists this ribosomal RNA (254 nucleotides) under uncultured bacterium. Its description in RNAcentral is "partial 16S ribosomal RNA". It matches the Rfam family "Bacterial small subunit ribosomal RNA", at positions 524 to 776 of the family's 1533-position model. The record is from RNAcentral.
UACGAAGGGGGCUAGCGUUGUUCGGAAUUACUGGGCGUAAAGCGUAUGCAGGCGGAUCGUUAAGUCGGGGGUGAAAUCCCGAGGCUCAACCUCGGAACUGCCUUCGAUACUGGCGACCUUCGAGUCCGGGAGAGGUGAGUGGAUCUCCGAGUGUAGAGGUGAAAUUCGUAGAUAUUCGGAAGAACACCAGUGGCGAAGGCGGCUCACUGGCCCGGUACUGACGCUGAGAUACGAAAGCGUGGGGAGCAAACAGG